UCCCAGGCAAAUCCGGGAUAAGAGUCGAACCUGACAGUAUACCAAUUUCCUCGGAAAACGGUAAUAGUGCGUGUAAACAUACUCCCAAGAAAAUCCGCUAAACUUAAUCUUAAUGGUACCCGUACCGCAAACGGACACACGUAGUCGGGUUGAAUAUACUCAGGCGCUUGAGUGAAUCACGGUUAAGGAACUAGGCAAAUUGACCCUGUAACUUCGGGAUAAAGGGUCCCUACCCGGUGACGGGAGGGCGCAGAGAAUAGGUCCAGGCAACUGUUUAACAAAAACACAGGGCUGUGCAAAAUUGAAAGAUCACGUAUACAGCCUGACACCUGCCCGGUGCUGGAAGGUUAAGAGGAGAUGUCAUCGCAAGAGAAGCAUUGAAUUGAAGCCCCAGUAAACGGCGGCCGUAACUAUAACGGUCCUAAGGUAGCGAAAUUCCUUGUCGGGUAAGUUCCGACCUGCACGAAUGGUGUAAUGAUCUGGACACUGUCUCAACCGUGAGCUCAGUGAAAUUGUAGUAUCGGUGAAGAUGCCGAUUACCCGCGAUGGGACGAAAAGACCCCGUGAACCUUUACUAUAGCUUAACAUUGAAUUUGGGUAAUUGAUGUGUAGGAUAGGCCGGAGACUUUGAAGCAGGUACGCCAGUAUUUGUGGAGUCGCUGUUGAAAUACGGCCCUUUGAUUAUUUGAGUUCUAACUCGCUGUUGCGAGGACACUGUUUGGUGGGUAGUUUGACUGGGGUGGUCGCCUCCAAAAGUGUAACGGAGGCUUCUAAAGGUGCCCUCACGCCGAUUGGUAACCGGCGGCAGAGUGUAAUGGCAUAAGGGCGCUUGACUGGGAGACUUACAAGUCGAUCAGGUAGGAAACUAGAGCAUAGUGAUCCGGUGUUUCCGUAUGGAAGGGACAUCGCUCAAAGGAUAAAAGGUACUCCGGGGA
RNAcentral lists this ribosomal RNA (935 nucleotides) under Bacteroides fragilis. RNAcentral describes it as "partial 23S ribosomal RNA". It matches the Rfam family "Bacterial large subunit ribosomal RNA", at positions 1530 to 2474 of the family's 2925-position model. Lineage: Bacteria; Pseudomonadati; Bacteroidota; Bacteroidia; Bacteroidales; Bacteroidaceae. The record is from RNAcentral.